RNAcentral lists this ribosomal RNA (253 nucleotides) under uncultured bacterium. RNAcentral's name for it is "partial 16S ribosomal RNA". It matches the Rfam family "Bacterial small subunit ribosomal RNA", at positions 524 to 776 of the family's 1533-position model. The record is from RNAcentral.
UACGUAGGGGGCAAGCGUUGUCCGGAUUUACUGGGUGUAAAGGGCGUGUAGGCGGGAUUACCAGUCAGAUGUGAAAUCCCGAGGCUUAACCUCGGAGCUGCAUCUGAAACUGUUUUUCUUGAGUGUCGGAGAGGAAAGUGGAAUUCCCAGUGUAGCAGUGAAAUGCGUAGAGAUUGGGAGGAACACCAGUGGCGAAGGCGGCUUUCUGGACGAUAACUGACGAUGAGGCGCGAAAGCGUGGGGAGCAAACAGG